ACGUACUAUGACAUACUAGUCAGAUGAGUCUGGUGGCACUUGGGGCCAGAGGGGACAUGUGUGGGCUGUCCUUUGGGGAGACUGGUCACACAAUAGAUGGCCCUGGAAGAGAUGACCCAGCUGUAAGAGGUAGGGCAGCCCAGCUCCAGAGGGAACUUGUCCCACAUCUGAGAGAAGCCACGAGAGACCCAAAGAAGCAGAACCUAACUCUGGAUCUAUAAGAAACUGAAAAGGGCGAAGCUCAGCUGCUGGGGGGCUUAGCCGAGGAUCCUCACAAGGACGGAGGCAGGCGAGAAUGGGACUCCAGCCCUGGGAACGAAUCCCCUCGAAGCUUCUCCCAGCACGCUCUCCCCACGCAGCUGUGGCAGAUGUGCAGCGUGCAUUCCAGGGUUGACGACUCGGCUGCCCUCGGGGAAGUGGAAACUGCUCGCCUCGCCCAUUCCGAAAGCAUCCAAAUAAUAAACCUCC
Molecule: long non-coding RNA, 468 nt
Filed under: Equus caballus (horse)
Lineage: Eukaryota; Metazoa; Chordata; Mammalia; Perissodactyla; Equidae
Description: lncRNA (ENSECAG00000052943.1)
Source: RNAcentral